This 72-nucleotide transfer RNA is filed under the name Phytophthora infestans (potato late blight agent). It matches the Rfam family "tRNA". Rfam says of the family: Transfer RNA (tRNA) molecules are approximately 80 nucleotides in length. The record is from Rfam by way of RNAcentral. Lineage: Eukaryota; Oomycota; Peronosporomycetes; Peronosporales; Peronosporaceae.
CCGCUUUUAGCUCAGUGGUCGAGCGUUAGCUUUGGAAGCCACAGGUCGGGGGUUCGAACCCACCAGGGCACA